UACGGUGACCAUGUCGGCGGGGACCCACCCCUUCCCAUCCCGAACAGGGACGUUAAGCCCGCCAGAGCCGAUGGUACUGCGAAAGCGGGAGAGUAGGACGUCGCCACCC
RNAcentral lists this ribosomal RNA (109 nucleotides) under Bacteroidales bacterium. The record is from RNAcentral. Lineage: Bacteria; Pseudomonadati; Bacteroidota; Bacteroidia; Bacteroidales.